Molecule: ribosomal RNA, 482 nt
Filed under: uncultured bacterium
Lineage: Bacteria
Description: partial 16S ribosomal RNA
Rfam family: Bacterial small subunit ribosomal RNA
Source: RNAcentral
AUUGAACGCUGACGGCAUGCCUUACACAUGCAAGUCGAACGGUAACGGGCCUUCGGGUGCCGACGAGUGGCGAACGGGUGAGUAAUACAUCGGAACGUGCCCGAUCGUGGGGGAUAACGAGGCGAAAGCUUUGCUAAUACCGCAUACGAUCUACGGAUGAAAGCAGGGGACCGCAAGGCCUUGCGCGGACGGAGCGGCCGAUGGCAGAUUAGGUAGUUGGUGGGAUAAAAGCUUACCAAGCCGACGAUCUGUAGCUGGUCUGAGAGGAUGAUCAGCCACACUGGGACUGAGACACGGCCCAGACUCCUACGGGAGGCAGCAGUGGGGAAUUUUGGACAAUGGGCGCAAGCCUGAUCCAGCCAUGCCGCGUGCAGGAUGAAGGCCUUCGGGUUGUAAACUGCUUUUGUACGGAACGAAAAGCCUUCUUUUAAUACAGGAGGGUCAUGACGGUACCGUAAGAAUAAGCACCGGCUAACUACGUG